UACGGAGGGGACUAGCGUUGUUCGGAAUUACUGGGCGUAAAGCGCGCGUAGGCGGAUUUGCAAGUCGGGGGUGAAAUCCCGAGGCUCAACCUCGGAACUGCCUUCGAUACUGCAAAUCUCGAGUCCGGAAGAGGUGAGUGGAAUUCCUAGUGUAGAGGUGAAAUUCGUAGAUAUUCGCAAGAACACCAGUGGCGAAGGCGGCUCACUGGCCCGGUACUGACGCUGAGGUGCGAAAGCGUGGGGAGCAAACAGG
This 253-nucleotide ribosomal RNA is filed under the name uncultured bacterium. RNAcentral's name for it is "partial 16S ribosomal RNA". It matches the Rfam family "Bacterial small subunit ribosomal RNA", at positions 524 to 776 of the family's 1533-position model. The record is from RNAcentral.